AAAUGCUGCAUAUGGUAGCAGUUCUAGUUAUGAAUAUGUGAAAAUCUUCCUGAAUGUCACAGAUGUUUCUGAUGAGCCUCUGGUACUCUUCACAACCUUCUUCCCCAGUCACUUUGUUGAGUCCACUGCUGAAAAUCUGCCUCUGGAGGAUCGGUUUUAUCUUGUGGGGACCAUGUGUGUCCUUAGGUCUAAGAUGCUACAAGAACUUUUCCUUGCAGAGGAAGCUGGUACAGAUUUAGUACAAGAUUCAGAUGACGAGACUCUUUCUGUGAGC
Molecule: long non-coding RNA, 274 nt
Organism: Erinaceus europaeus (western European hedgehog)
Lineage: Eukaryota; Metazoa; Chordata; Mammalia; Eulipotyphla; Erinaceidae
Exons: 3
Source: RefSeq, a predicted model, not a curated record